RNAcentral lists this long non-coding RNA (1388 nucleotides) under Homo sapiens (human). The record is from RNAcentral. Lineage: Eukaryota; Metazoa; Chordata; Mammalia; Primates; Hominidae.
GUCCUGUUAAAAUGUGUGGGGGCUUGUGCGCAGAGCUCCUCAACAGCUAGAUAGGCCAAAUCUUUGACACAAGUUUAUCUCCAUAUGUCCUCUGAUGUCAGUUUUGGCGUAUUUACCCAAUCUUCCACUGUGACCCUGAUGAUACCCCACACAAAUAACAGGCAGGAAAAAGAAUAGAGAAAGCAAUGCCAAAGGAGCCACACGGAUAUAAAUUUAACUUUCACAAUUACUUUGGCUCUAAAUCUAGAGCAGACAAAAAUUGGUGGGUGUAUCAUCUUGACUGCAGGGUACAUGGAAAUGCUGGGUUGUCUUGGACAGCUCUGAAUCUAAAACCUCCCAACCAGGGAGAGAGAAUGAAGGCAGAAGCUGACUCCUCCUUUAGCACAUCCCAAAUGGAACAAGGAAAAAGAAAUACAAUCUUUCGCAGCUUAUGAAGGACAGGUGGAACUAGGAGGGAAGUACCUGAGUUGGCCAAUGCCCCAUCCCUAUGCCUUGACAUGGCUCCUUUCCCCAAUUCUAGCUGGCACCAUGCCUAGAUGCCAGUGACUGCUGGACCCAGCAGCUGCUGCUGAACCACCCUUCCACUCUCCUCUCUGAUUCAUUUACCAUUUGGUUCCCUUCUGGGACUCUCUUUCCUUAUCUGAUCAUAUGUAGACUAAUAACCUGCCUAAUAUUCGCUACAGGUAGCAAUUAUUCUCUGUGACGAUAAAUUCCUUAAGGUAGGACAGUAUAUAAGGUCUAAGUGGCAAGAUAUGCUUUUAUCACUUUAAUUUUCAUGUAAAUGUAUAUAAUUCCCAAAAAACCUGAGCUGAGUGGUGACUACUCUCAUCUUGAAAAGCAGAUACAAAAGCCAGGCUGUACUUUCAUGCAAGUAUAUUACAGUAGAUGGAAUUUCACAUAAAGCAGAAACUCUUUAUGCUCCAAUAAUCCCAGGAACUGGAACAGAGAGCAGAGAGAAUCCUACCCCACUGGGUGACAGUGAAUGGAAAUCCCACCCUCUCCAGUAGAGCAGUAAAUCUGCUGAGGGACUGAGGAGAAGGCAGAUAGAGGCAGAUUCACAGAAUCAGAGACUGUCAGAGCUGAAAAGGCCUGAGACAUCAUCUAGAGUGUAGUGUUUCUCAAACUGGUCUGCUAAUCUAGUAUCAGGGAGCCACAAAGUCUCAUCAAGAAAAUUUCUUAGGAAUAGUGAGAAGGGAUGUAAUAAAUAAUUAUUAUUUUUUUAAAUGUUUAAAAAGAAAAAUAUGUGCUCACUUCGGCAGCACAUAUACUAAAAUUGGAAUGAUACAGAGAAGAUUAGUAUGGCCCCUGUGCAAGGAUGACACGCAAAUUCGUGAAGCGUUCCAUAUUUUUAUUAAGAAAAUGUGGCACAUAUACACCAUGGAAUACUA